AUGAAAAAAUUAUAAAAUAAUUUGUGGAAAAAAAAGACAAAUAUAUAUAGCUUGGAGUUCACUGUUCUUCGGCACAAGAUAACUGUCCUGGCACCUUUCUACUCGCAUCCCGACAACAGAUUUUCACAUCCUCGUUCCAUCGUCCCGAAAAAAAUGCGUGUUCCAUGACCGAGUUCUUUUGACGUUCUUGUUGUAGGGCAUCCAACGUGUUUGCAAUUCACUGCAAAUAUGAUCGUUUCUGUUCGCAAGUACAGGUGGCAAUGUAUCGAAUGCAAAUGUUGCUCCAUUUGCGGCACCUCUGACAACGAUGAUCAGUUGCUGUUCUGUGACGACUGUGAUCGUGGAUACCACAUGUAUUGUCUGGCUCCUCCUCUUGCGUCACCUCCGGAGGGCUCCUGGUCGUGCCGCUUGUGCUUAGCCGAAUUUCAUCGCCGUGAUUAAGUUCACUCUCUGGGAUAGUAUAUAGAUAUAUACAUAUAUAUAUAUAAGUCACGGAGCUAUCCUUGCUAUCGCUGUGGCAUACAACGUCUUGGUCGUCUUAUUAGGAGAAUUAGGAGAGUAUUCGCGAGAGCUCACUCGUACACCUAAGAUCUCUUCUUUUCGACUGAACUGGCAGCACUAGUUCAGAGUUUAUCUUUUUUACUCCACAUUGGAGGGAAAGAGAUAAACUCUGAACUAGUGCAGCCAGUUCAGUGAAAAAGAACAGAUAGUAUUAUAUAAUACAGACACCCCAAACUUUUGGAGGGGAAAGAAGAAAAAAAAAGGAAAGUUCAUUGAUCAUUAUUUAUUACAAAAUUUAUAUUGACAUAUUAUUAUCAGCUUCUUGUUACAUUAUGUUGAUGAUAAUAAUAAUAUAAUGACGAUAAUAAUUAGAGAAGAAUACAUUUAGCGUAAUCUGUCAUUAUCUCAGGCACUUGGUGAUCUCGACGAGAUAAAGAUGUAAGGAGACACAUAUUUAUAUAUAAUUUAAUCGAGAUAGUUUUUAGAAUAUAUAUAUAAGUGUAUAAAGAUACAACUCAUAUAUAAUUUGAUCGACUGUCAACAGAGUCCUGUAAGGAGAACGAACAGAGAGAUUAUUAAUUUUAAAGGCGAAGACGGAGUUCGAUUUACUGAUGAUCUUAGAUUUUACAUUCGUGUACCGAACAAAGUGUAUUUUUUGCUCAUUUUAUGAACUGACACAUACGUACACACACACACAUAUAUA
Molecule: non-coding RNA, 1204 nt
Organism: Nylanderia fulva
Lineage: Eukaryota; Metazoa; Arthropoda; Insecta; Hymenoptera; Formicidae
Source: RefSeq, a predicted model, not a curated record